CCCUACCAGUCAUGGGAACGGCAGACGAGCACGGAGCGGAGACAUUUUUACCUAACGGUUUCUCAGAAUCAAUACGCGAAUUCCCCGGGAGAUGCGAAAUCUAAUUAGAUUCUAAAGGCAACAAGACUGAAAAUUUCCCCUGAAUUUAUUUUUGCUUCCAUGCUUCCCAGAAGGGAGGAAGAACAGUUCUGGAUCCAGAGACUCUUGUUUUCCUUGAAGAUGAAAAGAAAGACAGUCCAGAUGGAGUCAAGAAAGUGCCAUUGUCACCCCCUGGGGCCCCUAGUGAGGGUCCAGUGGAAUGAAGUGCCCGGAAGACUGUGGAAGACUGAGGAACCGGGAUAUCAGGACUGCUUCUGUGGGCUGGUUGGUUGCAUUUGAGAGAAUCCUGGAAGCAGGAGAAAAUACAUUUGUCUUCUGCUAAUUGUUGCCUCCACUAAUCUGCAAAUGAUCACUGAAAUUAAA
This is a long non-coding RNA of Suricata suricatta (meerkat), 462 nucleotides long. RefSeq lists it as uncharacterized. The transcript has 3 exons. NCBI's taxonomy places the organism in Eukaryota, Metazoa, Chordata, Mammalia, Carnivora, Herpestidae. The record is from RefSeq and is a predicted model, not a curated record.